AUUCCUACGGGAGGCAGCAGUAGGGAAUUUUCGUCAAUGGGCGCAAGCCUGAACGAGCAAUGCCGCGUGAACGAGGAAGGUCUUCGGAUCGUAAAGUUCUGUUGAAGGGGAAAAAGAGCGGAGAGAGGAAAUGGUCUCCGAUUGAUAUUACCCUUCGAGGAAGUCACGGCUAACUACGUGCCAGCAGCCGCGGUAAUACGUAGGUGGCGAGCGUUAUCCGGAAUGAUUGGGCGUAAAGGGAGCGCAGGCGGUGCGGCAAGUCUGAUGUGAAAGCCCGGGGCUCAACCCCGGGACUGCAUUGGAAA
RNAcentral lists this ribosomal RNA (305 nucleotides) under uncultured bacterium. Its description in RNAcentral is "bacterial SSU rRNA". It matches the Rfam family "Bacterial small subunit ribosomal RNA", at positions 335 to 632 of the family's 1533-position model. The record is from RNAcentral.